AAUACCGCAUACGAUCUACGGAUGAAAGCAGGGGAUCGCAAGACCUUGCGCGAAUGGAGCGGCCGAUGGCAGAUUAGGUAGUUGGUGGGGUAAAGGCUCACCAAGCCUUCGAUCUGUAGCUGGUCUGAGAGGACGACCAGCCACACUGGGACUGAGACACGGCCCANACUCCUACGNGAGGCAGCAGUGGGGAAUUUUGGACAAUGGGCGCAAGCCUGAUCCAGCCAUGCCGCGUGCAGGAUGAAGGCCUUCGGGUUGUAAACUGCUUUUGUACGGAACGAAACGGCUCUUUCUAAUAAAGAGGGCUAAUGACGGUACCGUAAGAAUAAGCACCGGCUAACUACGUGCCAGCAGCCGCGGUAAUACGUAGGGUGCAAGCGUUAAUCGGAAUUACUGGGCGUAAAGCGUGCGCAGGCGGUGAUGUAAGACAGUUGUGAAAUCCCCGGGCUCAACCUGGGAACUGCAUCUGUGACUGCAUCGCUGGAGUACGGCAGAGGGGGAUGGAAUUCCGCGUGUAGCAGUGAAAUGCGUAGAUAUGCGGAGGAACACCGAUGGCGAAGGCAAUCCCCUGGGCCUGUACUGACGCUCAUGCACGAAAGCGUGGGGAGCAAACAGGAUUAGAUACCCUGGUAGUCCACGCCCUAAACGAUGUCAACUGGUUGUUGGGAAUUCACUUUCUCAGUAACGAAGCUAACGCGUGAAGUUGACCGCCUGNGGANUACGGGCGCAAGGUUGAAACUCAAAGGAAUUGACGGG
This 756-nucleotide ribosomal RNA is filed under the name Variovorax sp. B23. RNAcentral describes it as "bacterial SSU rRNA". It matches the Rfam family "Bacterial small subunit ribosomal RNA", at positions 165 to 917 of the family's 1533-position model. Lineage: Bacteria; Pseudomonadati; Pseudomonadota; Betaproteobacteria; Burkholderiales; Comamonadaceae. The record is from RNAcentral.